CCUACGUGAGGCUGCAGUGGGGAAUAUUGGACAAUGGGCGAAAGCCUGAUCCAGCCAUGCCGCGUGUGUGAAGAAGGCCUUCGGGUUGUAAAGCACUUUCAGUGGGGAAGAAAGCCUUGGGGCUAAUACCCUCGAGGAAGGACAUCACCCACAGAAGAAGCACCGGCUAACUCCGUGCCAGCAGCCGCGGUAAUACGGAGGGUGCGAGCGUUAAUCGGAAUUACUGGGCGUAAAGCGCGCGUAGGCGGUCUGAUAAGCCGGUUGUGAAAGCCCCGGGCUCAACCUGGGAACGGCAUCCGGAACUGUCAGGCUAGAGGGCAGGAGAGGAAGGUAGAAUUCCCGGUGUAGCGGUGAAAUGCGUAGAGAUCGGGAGGAAUACCAGUGGCGAAGGCGGCCUUCUGGACUGACACUGACGCUGAGGUGCGAAAGCGUGGGUAGCAAACAGGAUUAGAUACCCCUGUAGUC
RNAcentral lists this ribosomal RNA (465 nucleotides) under Vreelandella stevensii. Its description in RNAcentral is "partial 16S ribosomal RNA". It matches the Rfam family "Bacterial small subunit ribosomal RNA", at positions 338 to 795 of the family's 1533-position model. The record is from RNAcentral. Lineage: Bacteria; Pseudomonadati; Pseudomonadota; Gammaproteobacteria; Oceanospirillales; Halomonadaceae.